AACGAACGCUGGCGGCAUGCCUAACACAUGCAAGUCGAACGAGACCUCCGGGACUGGUUGCGCUCGGGUGCGUAGCGCGUGGGAAGCUGCCCUUAUGUACCGAAUAACUCCCCUUAAGGGGUGCUAAUACCGGAUAAUUUCUUCUGACCAAAGAUAUAUCGCAUUUGGAUGGGCACGCGUUGGUUUAGCAGGUUGGUAGGGGAAGAGCCUAUCAAGGCGAGGAUACAUAGCUGGUUUGAGAGAAAGAUCAGCCACACUGGGACUGAGACACGGCCGAGACUCCUACGGGAGGGAGCAGAGCGGGAUACAGGACUAUGGGCGAAAGCCUGAUCCAGCACUGCCUGGUGAGUGCUGAAGUCCGGAGGGUUGUAAAGCUCUUUUACACGGGAUGAUAAUGACAGUACCGGGAGAAUAAGCACCGGCUAACUCCGUG
RNAcentral lists this ribosomal RNA (433 nucleotides) under uncultured bacterium. RNAcentral describes it as "partial 16S ribosomal RNA". It matches the Rfam family "Bacterial small subunit ribosomal RNA", at positions 29 to 507 of the family's 1533-position model. The record is from RNAcentral.